UACCAGCACCCCGAGUGGUCGGGACGUUUAUUGGGCCUAAAGCAUCCGUAGCCGGUUCUACAGGUCUUCCGUUAAAUCCACCUGCUUAACAGAUGGGCUGCGGAAGAUACUAUGGAGCUAGGAGGCGGGAGAGGCAAGCGGUACUCGAUGGGUAGGGGUAAAAUCCGUUGAUCCAUUGAAGACCACCAGUGGCGAAGGCGGCUUGCCAGAACGCGCUCGACGGUGAGGGAUGAAAGCUGGGGGAGCAAACCGG
This 253-nucleotide ribosomal RNA is filed under the name uncultured bacterium. Its description in RNAcentral is "partial 16S ribosomal RNA". It matches the Rfam family "Archaeal small subunit ribosomal RNA", at positions 474 to 727 of the family's 1478-position model. The record is from RNAcentral.